GACUAGAAGAGUCCGCAAAGUUGACGGUA
This 29-nucleotide small RNA is filed under the name Bombyx mori (domestic silkworm). RNAcentral's name for it is "ovarian small RNA-5099". Lineage: Eukaryota; Metazoa; Arthropoda; Insecta; Lepidoptera; Bombycidae. The record is from RNAcentral.